This 1182-nucleotide long non-coding RNA is filed under the name Triticum aestivum (bread wheat). Its description in RNAcentral is "long non-coding RNA (TAES_LNC022281)". The record is from RNAcentral. Lineage: Eukaryota; Viridiplantae; Streptophyta; Magnoliopsida; Poales; Poaceae.
ACCAUACCAAAAAAUUUAUACUCCCACCCAUAUUGAAAAAGAUUCGUGCAUUAAGGAACACCACAGAGUAUGGAACCCAAAAAAAACUAACAACAAGCGACAACGACAGAUGGCUGCCUUAUUGUGUUGGAAGUGGGUGGCAUGAGCUGUCGCAUGGAUGCACGAAACAGUCCCGACCAUGCACAUCUAUCCGAGAAACAUUGGGUCACAACAAGGGUGUUGGUACCUGGACCAACGACGCAAUCACGUUGAGAAGUGUGCAAUCCAACUUCUCGUGGCCAUCCUCGAGCACUGCCUCGACACACUCCUCUAAACCCACCAUGUGUUCCGAACGACAUCCUCCCCGAUUCCCCAGCGCGACGGCUGACCACCAUAACUUCUCUAGAACGAACCUGUCCAAAGGCGCUGCCGACAACGUCAUCCCUGUGGCGCUACUCCUUUCUUCUCGUGCCUCUUGCCCCAUUCACCUCCUCCUUCCUAUGAAGUUUUAGUAACAAUGUACAUUUCAGUAAUCAGUAAAAAAAUGCAGAUUUUAGUACAAGAAAAAUGAGUAUCUUGACAAAGUUUUCGUAGAAAUCAAAUUACCGUACAAUACAAUAUUUUAGUACCUACUAAAAUAAUAGUACAAGGGCAAUCAUCCGAAUAAUAUCAUCAGAAGUAUGAAACUGAACCUUUAUUUGCACCAGGUGACUACCCUUGUCAUCUCAAGAUCCAAGCCUCUCCUCUUGUCCUCUUCUCCAAGCAUGCAGUGAAAACUGCUAAAAAAAAUUAAAUGCAGAUGUACAUUUGUGAGAAGAAAUAGUGGAUCUCAAACCAACCUUCAUUAAUAGAUCUGUUUUGAACUAUAUGGUCGAUUAUGUACAUGGUCCAGAUUGGGUCAUAAUGAAAACUUAAAUAUUGGGUUAGCCUUUGCCAUAUGUUUUUUGAAGAAGAAAAUCAUAAGCAUCAGCACCUACUACGUGGAAGACAAAUCCCUUUAGAAAAGUUUGGCAUGUAAUUAUGAUAUUAUCCUAGCUUCUUUAUGAUUCAGAAUUCAAUAGUAUUCAUGCCAAUAUGAAUAGCAUCUACCUAGAUAAAUACCUGGACCAAAACUCAAUGAAGAAUAACAUUAGUGCAAACUAAACAUGAAAAUUUUGAACUCCCUGACUUUAUGUCAGUACAGUAGUAAUAGUAGUACAAGCG